Gymnothorax javanicus (giant moray) is the source of this 74-nucleotide non-coding RNA. NCBI's taxonomy places the organism in Eukaryota, Metazoa, Chordata, Actinopteri, Anguilliformes, Muraenidae. The record is from the annotation of a GenBank genome assembly.
GACGCGGUAGCGCAGUGGUUAAGUGUGCUUGACCUGGGAUCAAAAGGUCCUGCAUUCAAGUCCCUGCCACGGCC